GUGGUUUUCCUGGUUGCUGGGAGCCUUUGAUAGAGUUGAGACAGAUGGCGACAUGCUCUUGUUACAGUCAAAGAAACUGCACAGCUAAAGAAAGAGCAUUUAAAUGACCUGCCCAAGGUCACACAGCUCACGAGUGGCAGACCUGAGGCUGGAGCCCUGGUGUCCUGGUUCCCCGUCUGAUGGACCUCCCCGAGCUUCCUAUGAUCAAGGUGUUGAAGGAGAAGCUGGAGGAGCAUGGCAGGUGUGCCGUGGAGGAGCUGGACUUUAUCCCCGCCCCUCCUUGCAUCAUGGGUGGCUCUGUAUCUGCUGAACUAACAGAUCACCACAGAAGUGCACUGAGCAGUUCCAGGCCCAGCCUUCCGGAGGACUGUGGCUUCCUUCCUCCCUCUUGGAACCCGGCUUCCGUACUGGGAGGAGCCCAAGGCACACGGAGAGGCCCAGAGCCGGUAGGGACUGGCAGCACCAUGGGGGAGCCAGCUUGGACGUCCCAGCCCCAUCACGUGCUGGUAAGGCCAGUCCACACAAGAGCAUCACAGAAUCAUGAAACGGGAUAAAAUGUUGUUUUAAGUGGUUACGUUUGGGUGUGGUUUGCUCUGCAGCAAAGAUAACUGAAACCUGUAAAUGAAACGUUCACAAGAAGGAAGGUUUAUCUUCUAAGCAAUGCGGAACAACAAAGCACGGCGUUACACUUAACUGAGCGGGAACGGAACCAUUCAG
Camelus dromedarius (Arabian camel) is the source of this 717-nucleotide long non-coding RNA. RefSeq lists it as uncharacterized. The record is from RefSeq and is a predicted model, not a curated record. NCBI's taxonomy places the organism in Eukaryota, Metazoa, Chordata, Mammalia, Artiodactyla, Camelidae. The transcript is spliced from 3 exons.